RNAcentral lists this long non-coding RNA (591 nucleotides) under Lotus japonicus. RNAcentral's name for it is "long non-coding RNA (LJAP_LNC001660)". The record is from RNAcentral. Lineage: Eukaryota; Viridiplantae; Streptophyta; Magnoliopsida; Fabales; Fabaceae.
GGCCGGCGGGGUAACGCGACGCGGCACUGUGCUAGAUCGGCGGCGCAGCGAGUGUGAGUCUAGAUCGGUGUGAACAGAGUGAAUCGAACCCAGAUCUGAAAGGGUGAAUCGAACCCAAAUCGGUGUGAACAUAGUGAAAUGAACCAGAUCUGUGGAUCUUGAGGCAUGGUGGACGAUGCUGCUUUUCAGAAUAUAGGCAGUGGGGAGCCUGGUUUGAGUUUGAAUAUUUUGAAGGUCACAGUGACGGGCAUUGACAUUCUUGUGAGUAAAUACGCCUGUCUGGAGUACUUGGAUGUAAAUUGGUUUUUUUCAAUCUAAUUCCAUCUUAUUGCACGAUUUUUGAAUAUUUCUAUGUUUAUGUGAAUGUGUUGUAGGACCUGCUUGAUUUAUGCCCAUAAAAGUGGAAAAUUAUGAAGAGAAGUUGAAGAACUUGUGUUGUAAGAUCUGCUUGAUUUAUGCUCAGGAAAAAUGGAAAAUUAUGAAGAGAACUUGAAGAACUUCUGCACUGCAACUUGAGGUGUUGGGAAAUGAAGUUGAGAAAUGGAGGUAGAAGUUCGAACUGCGUCUGCAAUGGACAGUGGUUAAGUUCCA